Molecule: long non-coding RNA, 557 nt
Organism: Ficedula albicollis (Collared flycatcher)
Lineage: Eukaryota; Metazoa; Chordata; Aves; Passeriformes; Muscicapidae
Exons: 3
Source: RefSeq, a predicted model, not a curated record
UGCGAUUGAAACCUUGCCACUUUUGCUCUUCACAUGAAUCUGACUUUUUUGUGUGACAUCUUGGAGAAAGAGACAUGUGCCUUGCUGAGUCAGAUGUGUUGAACAACUGCAGUGAUUUGUUUGCAUCUGUCAUCAGGAGAAUUUAAUUCAAAAAAUAAGAGGAAGCCUAGUGGUGAAAAGAAAGGAGAUGAGUACAUAUUGUAUUAGUUUAAUUAAGUCAUAAAACUUUUCAGACCACUUAAAAGGAAGGCUGGCAUAGUACCACAUUACAAGAUACAGCAAAGCAAAACUAAAAUAAUGAAUGCAAACAAAUGAACGACGGACAUUGGCUUUGAUUGUGGAUGUAGAGUCAAGCUGGCAGUUUCUGUAAAGAGAGCUACAAAUUGAAAAACCCAACACCAUCACCAAAAAAGUAUCCUAAUAAAAUGGAAAAGAAAUGUGGCCCAAGCCCAUGGAUCACUCUUGAAAUUAUUCCAAAAAUUAAUUAAUCUGUAAAAAAAGAGGUAAAGACAUAAUACUUCAUGAGACUAACUACUUGUACACCUAGUGAGUGCAGC